AGAGUUUGAUNNUGGCUCAGGAUGAACGCUGGCGGCGUGCCUAACACAUGCAAGUCGAGCGGGAAAUAUUAGAACAAGACUUCGGUCUAGUGAAAAGAUGGAGAGCGGCGGACGGGUGAGUAACGCGUAGGCAACCUGCCUCAUACAGAGGGAUAGCCUCGGGAAACCGGGAUUAAAACCUCAUAAUGCGAGAAUUUCACAUGAGAUUAUCGCCAAAGAUUUAUCGGUAUGAGAUGGGCCUGCGUCUGAUUAGUUAGUUGGUGGGGUAACGGCCUACCAAGGCAACGAUCAGUAGCCGACCUGAGAGGGUAAUCGGCCACAUUGGAACUGAGACACGGUCCAAACUCCUACGGGAGGCAGCAGUGGGGAAUAUUGCACAAUGGGCGAAAGCCUGAUGCAGCAACGCCGCGUGAACGAUGAAGGCCUUUGGGUCGUAAAGUUCUGUCCUUGGGGAAGAAAAAAAUGACGGUACCCAUGGAGGAAGCCCCGGCUAACUACGUGCCAGCAGCCGCGGUAAUACGUAGGGGGCGAGCGUUAUCCGGAAUUAUUGGGCGUAAAGAGUGCGUAGGUGGUUUCAUAAGCGCGGGGUGAAAGGCAAUGGCUCAACCAUUGUAAGCCUUGCGAACUGUGGAACUUGAGUGCAGGAGAGGAAAGUGGAAUUCCUAGUGUAGCGGUGAAAUGCGUAGAUAUUAGGAGGAACACCAGUGGCGAAGGCGACUUUCUGGACUGUAACUGACACUGAGGCACGAAAGCGUGGGGAGCAAACAGGAUUAGAUACCCUGGUAGUCCACGCCGUAAACGAUGAGCACUAGGUGUCGGGGUCGCGAGACUUCGGUGCCGCAGUUAACGCAUUAAGUGCUCCGCCUGGGGAGUACGCACGCAAGUGUGAAACUCAAAGGAAUUGACGGGGACCCGCACAAGCAGCGGAGCAUGUGGUUUAAUUCGAAGCAACGCGAAGAACCUUACCAGGGCUUGACAUCCCCUCUACAGACUCUUAACCGAGUUUUUCUUCGGACAGAGGAGACAGGUGGUGCAUGGUUGUCGUCAGCUCGUGUCGUGAGAUGUUGGGUUAAGUCCCGCAACGAGCGCAACCCUUGUCAUUAGUUGCCAGCAUUUAAGGUGGGCACUCUAGUGAGACUGCCGUGGAUAACACGGAGGAAGGUGGGGAUGACGUCAAAUCAUCAUGCCCCUUAUGUCCUGGGCUACACACGUGCUACAAUGGCUGGUACAGAGAGAAGCGAGAUCGCGAGGUGGAGCAAAUCUCCAAAACCAGUCCCAGUUCGGAUUGUAGGCUGCAACUCGCCUACAUGAAGUUGGAGUUGCUAGUAAUCGCAGAUCAGAAUGCUGCGGUGAAUGCGUUCCCGGGUCUUGUACACACCGCCCGUCACACCAUGGAAGUUGGGGGCGCCCGAAGUUGGUCAGAUAAUAGACUGCCUAAGGCGAAACCAAUGACUAGGGUGAAGUCGUAACAAGGUAGCCGUAUCGGAAGGUGCGGCUGGAUCACCUCCUUUCU
Molecule: ribosomal RNA, 1513 nt
Filed under: Anaerovorax odorimutans
Lineage: Bacteria; Bacillati; Bacillota; Clostridia; Peptostreptococcales; Anaerovoracaceae
Description: 16S ribosomal RNA
Rfam family: Bacterial small subunit ribosomal RNA
Source: RNAcentral